This 492-nucleotide ribosomal RNA is filed under the name uncultured bacterium. RNAcentral describes it as "partial 16S ribosomal RNA". It matches the Rfam family "Bacterial small subunit ribosomal RNA", at positions 29 to 507 of the family's 1533-position model. The record is from RNAcentral.
AGUGAACGCUGGCGGUAGGCCUAACACAUGCAAGUCGAACGGCAGCACAGUAAGAGCUUGCUCUUACGGGUGGCGAGUGGCGGACGGGUGAGGAAUACAUCGGAAUCUACUUUUUCGUGGGGGAUAACGUAGGGAAACUUACGCUAAUACCGCAUACGACCUACGGGUGAAAGCAGGGGAUCUUCGGACCUUGCGCGAUUGAAUGAGCCGAUGUCGGAUUAGCUAGUUGGCGGGGUAAAGGCCCACCAAGGCGACGAUCCGUAGCUGGUCUGAGAGGAUGAUCAGCCACACUGGAACUGAGACACGGCCCAGACUCCUACGGGAGGCAGCAGUGGGGAAUAUUGGACAAUGGGCGCAAGCCUGAUCCAGCCAUACCGCGUGGAUGAAGAAGGCCUUCGGGUUGUAAAGCCCUUUUGUUGGGAAAGAAAAGCAGCAGGUUAAUACCCCGCUGUUCUGACGGUACCCAAAGAAUAAGCACCGGCUAACUUCGUG